Molecule: small nuclear RNA, 22 nt
Filed under: Arabidopsis thaliana (thale cress)
Lineage: Eukaryota; Viridiplantae; Streptophyta; Magnoliopsida; Brassicales; Brassicaceae
Description: snRNA_18393
Source: RNAcentral
AGUUAGUAACUUUCAAAACUGU